This is a transfer RNA of Trichoderma atroviride IMI 206040, 83 nucleotides long. It matches the Rfam family "tRNA". Rfam says of the family: Transfer RNA (tRNA) molecules are approximately 80 nucleotides in length. Their secondary structure includes four short double-helical elements and three loops (D, anti-codon, and T loops). NCBI's taxonomy places the organism in Eukaryota, Fungi, Ascomycota, Sordariomycetes, Hypocreales, Hypocreaceae. The record is from Rfam.
GUCUACCUAGUAUAGUGGUCAGUACAGCAGUUUGUGGAUCAUUUGAAUCACUGCAAACCCAGGUUCGAUUCCUGGGGUGGACA